RNAcentral lists this ribosomal RNA (579 nucleotides) under uncultured bacterium. RNAcentral's name for it is "bacterial SSU rRNA". It matches the Rfam family "Bacterial small subunit ribosomal RNA", at positions 74 to 646 of the family's 1533-position model. The record is from RNAcentral.
AUCAGCUUGCUGAUUUGCUGACGAGUGGCGGACGGGUGAGUAAUGUCUGGGAAACUGCCUGAUGGAGGGGGAUAACUACUGGAAACGGUAGCUAAUACCGCAUAACGUCGCAAGACCAAAGAGGGGGACCUUCGGGCCUCUUGCCAUCGGAUGUGCCCAGAUGGGAUUAGCUAGUAGGUGGGGUAACGGCUCACCUAGGCGACGAUCCCUAGCUGGUCUGAGAGGAUGACCAGCCACACUGGAACUGAGACACGGUCCAGACUCCUACGGGAGGCAGCAGUGGGGAAUAUUGCACAAUGGGCGCAAGCCUGAUGCAGCCAUGCCGCGUGUAUGAAGAAGGCCUUCGGGUUGUAAAGUACUUUCAGCGGGGAGGAAGGGAGUAAAGUUAAUACCUUUGCUCAUUGACGUUACCCGCAGAAGAAGCACCGGCUAACUCCGUGCCAGCAGCCGCGGUAAUACGGAGGGUGCAAGCGUUAAUCGGAAUUACUGGGCGUAAAGCGCACGCAGGCGGUUUGUUAAGUCAGAUGUGAAAUCCCCGGGCUCAACCUGGGAACUGCAUCUGAUACUGGCAAGCUUGAG